AAAAAUGCUGAUACACUGAAGGAAAAAAAAGUUAAAAAAAAAAAAACUAAACAACAUUUCAGUUAAAAUUAUAGUAAAGCUCUCAACCAAGCCAGCAAAUUUCCAAGGGAUAAUCACAUUUCACAAUAAAAGCCAUCCAUCCCACAAAUAUAUUUGGAUAAAAUACAUCUAGAUAAGAUCAAAUUUCCCUAUGCACUAUUUUCCAUGUAGAAACAUCAACUUACAAUCUCAAUUUAAAAAAAAAAAGAAAUAAAAAAUGGUUAAAAAAA
Molecule: unclassified non-coding RNA, 269 nt
Filed under: Hevea brasiliensis (rubber tree)
Lineage: Eukaryota; Viridiplantae; Streptophyta; Magnoliopsida; Malpighiales; Euphorbiaceae
Source: RNAcentral